GACGAACGCUGGCGGCGUGCUUAACACAUGCAAGUCGAACGGAAAGGCCCUGCUUGCCGGGUACUCGAGUGGCGAACGGGUGAGUAACACGUGGGUGGUCUGCCCUGCACUUCGGGAUAAGCCUGGGAAACUGGGUCUAAUACCGGAUAGGAGCCAUUUUUAGUGUGAUGGUUGGAAAGUUUUUUCGGUGUAGGAUGAGCUCGCGGCCUAUCAGCUUGUUGGUGGGGUAAUGGCCUACCAAGGCGGCGACGGGUAGCCGGCCUGAGAGGGUGGACGGCCACAUUGGGACUGAGAUACGGCCCAGACUCCUACGGGAGGCAGCAGUGGGGAAUAUUGCACAAUGGGCGCAAGCCUGAUGCAGCGACGCCGCGUGGGGGAUGACGGCCUUCGGGUUGUAAACUCCUUUCGCUAGGGACGAAGCUUUUUGUGACGGUACCUAGAUAAGAAGCACCGGCUAACUACG
RNAcentral lists this ribosomal RNA (463 nucleotides) under uncultured bacterium. RNAcentral describes it as "partial 16S ribosomal RNA". It matches the Rfam family "Bacterial small subunit ribosomal RNA", at positions 28 to 505 of the family's 1533-position model. The record is from RNAcentral.